This 509-nucleotide ribosomal RNA is filed under the name Oxylaemus californicus. RNAcentral's name for it is "partial 16S ribosomal RNA". It matches the Rfam family "Bacterial large subunit ribosomal RNA", at positions 1819 to 2600 of the family's 2925-position model. Lineage: Eukaryota; Metazoa; Arthropoda; Insecta; Coleoptera; Bothrideridae. The record is from RNAcentral.
GUCUUUUUGAGUAUAAUUUAAAGUCUGACCUGCCCACUGAUUAAUUAAAUGGCCGCGGUAUUUUGACCGUGCAAAGGUAGCAUAAUCAUUAGUUUUUUAAUUGAAAGCUGGAAUGAAUGGUUGAAUAAGAAAAUAACUGUCUCAAUUUAAUUUUAUUAGAAUUUUAUUUUUAAGUUAAAAAGCUUAAAUUAAAUUAAAAGACGAGAAGACCCUAUAGAGUUUAAUAUUAAAGUUAUUAAUUUUAUAAGAAUAUAUUUAUUUAAUAAUAUAUAAUAUUUGAUUGGGGUGAUUGAAAAAUUAAAUUAACUUUUUUUUUAUUUUUACAUUAAUUUAUGAAUUUUUGAUCCAUUUUAUUAUGAUUAAAAGAUAAAAUUACCUUAGGGAUAACAGCGUAAUUUUUUUUAAGAGUUCAAAUCGAAAAAAGAGAUUGCGACCUCGAUGUUGGAUUAAAGUUAGUAUUUGGUGUAGAAGCUAAAAUACUAGGUCUGUUCGACCUUUAAAUCUUUACA